AUACGGAGGGUGCAAACGUUGCUCGGAAUCAUUGGGCGUAAAGCGCACGUAGGCGGUUCGAUAAGUCGGAUGUGAAAGCCCUAGGCUUAACCAAGGAAGUGCAUUCGAAACUGCCGAACUUGAGUAUGGGAGAGGAUUGCGGAAUUCUCGGUGAAGAGGUGAAAUUCGUAGAUAUCGGGAGGAACACCAGUGGCGAAGGCGGCCAUCUGGAUCGGUUCUGACGCUGAGGCGCGAAAGCGUGGGGAGCAAACAGGAUUAGAAACCCCAGUAGUCC
This 274-nucleotide ribosomal RNA is filed under the name uncultured bacterium. Its description in RNAcentral is "partial 16S ribosomal RNA". It matches the Rfam family "Bacterial small subunit ribosomal RNA", at positions 523 to 796 of the family's 1533-position model. The record is from RNAcentral.